CAUAUUGAUUUCCCUGUAGUGAACCAAACGCGGGAUCCAUUUACAAUAUUUCGGGUCAUUUGUGUAUCCCGUAUUUAAAUCAUCUAACCCGACCUUUCAUUAGCAUACUAGGGUUUCCAACAUUCAGCGUCUUCUCCAAGCUUCCUGUCAUUCUUCUCCAUCCUUCCUCUCUCAAUCUCAAACAUCUGAUAAAAGGUAAAUCGAAUAAGUUCUUUUGUUGAUCCAACAAAAUAACGGAUCAUGAUCACUCUUCAUAUCACCAACUAGGGUUUCACAUAAAUCGCUCUCGCGUUCUUCUCUGCCGACCUAGGGUUUCUCUUCCUCUCUUUUCUCUGAUUCUUUUUCAUGAUUCCCAAAAUUGAGGACUUGCAAAUCGUGAAUGAGAUCUGCCUCUAAACGAAGGGCAUUGGAAUUACAUCAAUAUCAAGGCUAAUAAAACCCUGGGAUUUUAUGGAUUUUGAUCUCAUUUUUUUGCCAUUGUCAAGCAAAACAAAGGUGCAGUGCGAGUUAGGUCUGUGAAAUUUUACUCAUAAAUUUAAGCAUCAAUUUGUUAUUAGAGAAGGCUUGCAUUUUGCUUUAUUUCAUUUAUGGAAACAAGCUUUGUGAUGACAAAGUUCCUGAUCGAAUUCACCGUACAUAUACUAUUUGGUAAUUUCAACCCAUUUUGAUAUGUUAUAUGUCCAGACUAUCACUUCUGAUCUUAGACUAAAUAUAUAUCAAACCGGUUGAAACAAUGUGUUGAGCCAGCGAGAAAGGAAUCAAGGUUUUUCCUUUUAACUAAUUGAUUUUGGGCUUUAUGUGUUCUUCAAGCCAGGUAUUUUAAUAUGUACCUUUUAUCCCAUAUGUUUACAUUUGCUUUUAAACUGAUUAUUGAGACUUUAAGAAUCAUAAAUUGAUAGCUGGGUGUUUAAUUGAACAAAGCAGGUUCGUUUUCUAGACAAAAAUGGAGAAAGAAAGUAGGGUCACUUCGGAAAUGGAAAAGUCAACAUGAAAUUCAUGUUCAACUAUGGACCGUGGUAUGGAUCCAUGGAAAUUCAAAAGUGAAUUGAAUUUUGGAAAUAAAAAAAUAAAGAUGGGAGAGACUAAAGAAAGAGAUAUCAGUUGUAUGAAAAAAAUGAGGUAUGGGUUUGUAUUUAUAAAUAAAAGUGGUGGCGGUUUGGUAUAGGCUGGCACCUAAGAAUCGGUAUCCGGCUGCGUGAAAGUGUUGCAUUAAUGCAUUGGUUGGCGAAACCGGCGAAGUUGGCGGAGUUGGGGAGGAAGGUUGAAUUGCAAUGAUGGUAAACCACCUGUGGUUUGAUCAAGAUCAACCUACAGAUGCUCAGUUUUCUACAAAUAACGUUAUUAUCAAACACUAGAAUUCAAAGGCAACAAGUUAAAGAUUCUGUGUGUUUACUUGCAACUCCAGCUGCGCGAGUUGAUAAACAAAUCCUAACAACAGUUCAUUUAAACUAUUGUUAACGAUUCCAAUGGCGUUUUUUUACCAGAUAUACCCAUCGCAAACUCACUAUCAUUUCCCACAUCCGGCGCUUGAUCAACAUUUUUUGGUCUAUUAUAUGCCGACUAGGCAGUCGGCCCAAGGUUAUAACUUACCAUUGCAGGCUGAUGCCUCCUAUGCUGUUUCCGCCCCUCCUAAUCAUCAAGUCCCGCCGCCUUAUGGUUUGAUCACUGCACCGCAGGUUGUCCAAUCCACCACAAACACUGAAGCACCAGCAGGCGUGUAUAGAUCUUAAGAAAUUAUGUUUUUAGAUUUACAUUUCGAGUUUUACAGAUGAUGAUACGAGGAACUCUGCUCUUGCUAAGGAAAUGGCUGCUCAUUCUUAAUGUUUUUGUUAUGGGCGAAGUGGUAAAAAUAUAUCUAUCAAAGGGUAGGAGAAUACCAGUGUGCAUAAAAGCAAAAAUGUCCACUUCUGCCGAAAAAGGGUCUCCUUCGCCACUAAAACAGGUCGGUUUUCAAGUUCUUAAAUUAUGCGGUGAUUGCAUAGGUUUGGUCCAGCGAGUCUGUGUUGUCAUUGAACAGACGUUCUUUUGUCCAUUUAUAAAUAAUUGUUCUUUUGUCCAUUUAUAAGUAAUUGUAGGUUGAAUUCACUACGCACUUCGGGCAACUUCAAACCGUUUGACCCAUUUAACCAGUUUUCUUUACCACUUUAUUUUUUUUUCUUUUUUAGUUCUACACAUAAAUUAUCUAUUUGUUUCACUUCUACCAUAAAGUAAUUGGUAAUUCUAUAGGUACUUGCUAUAUAUAGUCGAUAAAGCUAUUAUUACUGUACAUUUAUAGUUAUCAUAUCCUAAAAGUAAUGUUUUCAUCAAUGAACUUCUACUUAGCAUCGUGUAAGAAGUUGUCUUGAAAAUAUUGAUGUUUAGAUUUUUAAAAUAGGUUCCCUCUUCUUUUUGUUGCUUAGAAGCACAAAAAUGUAUUUGUUAUGAUUCCAGUAUACUUACUAAUUGAAUGCAAGAUUGCAUUUUGUUUGUCACAGGUCCAUCCCGAUUGACUAGCGUAGCCCGAGUACAUCACUUCCUAUAGUGGAAUUGUAGGGAAGCGUCAGAUGCAGGUCACAUCUGUUGGUAACAUCUACACCGAAUGAGUUGGCUUCAAAUUCAGUUACAUAGGGCUGUUGAUGCUUGCAAGAAUGUCCUAAGAGGCUUGCAUAGUGAAAAGAUGGCAGAUCAUGAAUUGGAUUCGGUUCGUUAUUUUCUUUUAAAGGGCAAAAUGGGUAAAAAGGACGAGUUAAUUAGGAAACACUCAAAUGGGUUGAUUGGGUGAAAGUGGCUCAAACUGUAUUUUGAACACAACCUUCUAAAUCAUGUCUUUCAAAAUUAUUUGAAAUAAUAUACUAUUAGUUUUUGUAACCAUGCUCAACACACUAUUGGAUUGUUGAGGUAUAAGUAUAACUCUGUUUAUUGACAUGCCAAACUAGCUCUGCUGAUGAAACACGAAACAUUAACCAUAUCAAAUGCUGACUAGCUUUGGUUGUAGGCUAUUUGUAGGCUGUUUUUAUUCAUAGGAGGUAACAUUAGACUGAAUUGACAAUUUUAUGAAGUUGUUGAACAGACCAUUGUACCCUUUUCGAGUUGAAUUAGCAUAAUAGUUUAGUUUUU
Molecule: RNA transcript, 3096 nt
Organism: Helianthus annuus (common sunflower)
Lineage: Eukaryota; Viridiplantae; Streptophyta; Magnoliopsida; Asterales; Asteraceae
Exons: 9
Source: RefSeq, a predicted model, not a curated record